Molecule: small nuclear RNA, 105 nt
Filed under: Dasypus novemcinctus (nine-banded armadillo)
Lineage: Eukaryota; Metazoa; Chordata; Mammalia; Cingulata; Dasypodidae
Source: RNAcentral
GUGUUUACUUCAGCCACACAUGUACUAAAAUUGGAAUGGUGCAGAGAUUAGCACAAGCUCCUGCACAAGGGUGACACAAAAAUUCCUGAAGCAUUCCAAAUUUUU